Non-coding RNA from Podarcis lilfordi (Lilford's wall lizard), 74 nucleotides. The record is from the annotation of a GenBank genome assembly. Lineage: Eukaryota; Metazoa; Chordata; Lepidosauria; Squamata; Lacertidae.
ACCUGGAAUAGCUCAGUCGGUAGCUCCUGAGACUUGUAAUCUCAGAGUUGUGGGUUCAAGUCGCAUGUUGGGCA